GAUGAACGCUGGCGGCGUGCCUAAUACAUGCAAGUCGAGCGAACAGAUAAUGAGCUUGCGCCUUUGACGUUAGCGGCGGACGUGUGAGUAACACGUGUGUCACCUACCUAUAAUACUGGGAAAACUUCGGGAAAGCGGAGCUAAUACCGUAUAAGAUUUCGAACCGCGGGGUUCGAUAGUGAAAUAUGGUUGUUCUGUCACGACUAGAGGGACCCCGGCGGUAUUGGGUUGUUGGUAAGGUAAAGGCUUUCCAAGGGGAGGAGUCGUAGCCGACGUGCGUGGGUGGUAGCCCGCAUUGGAAGGUAGCCACGCACAUGGGUACUGCGGUAGGCAGCAGUAGGGAACGUGACGCAACGGGGGGAAGUAUGACGGAGCAGCGCCGCGUGAGUGACGAAGGUCUUCGGAUCGUAAAAAUCUGUUACUGGGGAAGAACAGCUGUCUAAGGAAAUGUGGCGGGCUUGACGGUAAUUAGUAAGAAAGCAACGGCUAACUACGUG
RNAcentral lists this ribosomal RNA (497 nucleotides) under uncultured bacterium. Its description in RNAcentral is "partial 16S ribosomal RNA". It matches the Rfam family "Bacterial small subunit ribosomal RNA", at positions 28 to 507 of the family's 1533-position model. The record is from RNAcentral.